Peromyscus californicus insignis is the source of this 4143-nucleotide long non-coding RNA. RefSeq lists it as uncharacterized. The transcript has 2 exons. The record is from RefSeq and is a predicted model, not a curated record. NCBI's taxonomy places the organism in Eukaryota, Metazoa, Chordata, Mammalia, Rodentia, Cricetidae.
CUGCUCCUCCUGGGGACUGCUCCUCCUGGGGACUGCUCCUCCUGGGGACUGCUCCUGCCCACUGGUAAGCCACUCUGCCCUCCAUGGACCUCAACCCCCCUUGCUGGGUCCCCUCCUUGCCAUGUCCUCCUCAAACACCUUGACACGCCAGAGCCCCGUCACGCCCAAGGGUCAUCCUGAGACCUCCUCCCAGGAUCUGCCUCCCUCGGCCAUUUCUAACAAAGGGCUCAGCCACCCAGGUCCUUACAGUCUCAAAACUGGGGUGGGCUCCAUAGGCAGGAGGCAUGGGCAGUGAGACGUGUACAUAUGGCACUUGGCUCUCCCAUGUCCAGGGCCCAUGUUCUGGGAGCUAACCCUCAGGUGGUCAAGGGAGCCACUAGAACCUACAGGGACAAGGAGAAAUCAACCCUCUCACCUCACCUCGGCUUCCACACCUCCCACCCCACAAACAACCCAGCCUACUCAAUUGAAUUCUGUGCAGAGCCAGGAUGAGUUGGGGAUGCUGGUUUAGAAGGGGCCUGGUACUGCCCCCCCUGUUCUGGGCCUCAGUGUCUCAGCUCCAGGAGCACCUGACCCUGAGGACUCAUGACCUGGCCUCAACGUGAGGGGAAGUCUUCCUGCAAUUCUGGGAUUCUGGAACGUUCCUGAGCCUUUGCUCCCGUAUGGUUUGCCUGUGUGGCAUCUCUCUCUCUGUUAGGACGGAGGCACUGGCCUCUGCCUAGUGUCUCAUGCAUGGUGGGUGUGCACCCUACUGUCUGGGCUGGGCCUCUAGAGACUUCCCCUCAGGGCGUUCAGGUGGGUGGCAGAUUCGAUCCCUGGAGGCUGCUAGCCUGUCAUGCUUCCUUUCCCUGGAUGCUCAGGACACCUGGCCCAUUGUGCUCAGGUCUCCGCCUCUUUCUCCUAAUGUUUGGAGACAGCAGCCGUGACUGGGGACAAGUCCACUUGGCACCUCAGAUCUCAGCUCCUCUGUGGCCCUGGAAUAAAUGAAGACCAGCCAAGACCUGUUGGGGCAAAGCCCUUCCAAGAUCCCCCCUCUCCUACUCCACGCUCCCUCUUCCACCUAGCUUCCCAUGCCUCAGUUUCCCCAGCUGUAAAAUGAGGAAUACAGUACCCAGCUAGCUCACAGGAAGUUGAGAGUCACCUGGCAUGUGUGAGGCUGACAGCCCGGCCCCAGGAAGGAGCUAAAUGGGCUUCCCAUGGUCAUCCAUGAUAUAUGUGGAAUCCAGCCACAUACUGGAAUCCAGGUCACUGAGGUUUCCAGGCCACACAAAGUCCCUCCAGCUCUGUGGAGCGAGGGCUGCACCCUGUGUCACUAUACAAGUAACUGAACAGCCAAAAACCACUGCCUGCCUGCAGGCCAUGUGGUGCCUUCUUCAGGCUAUGACCAUGGAUUCAGUUCCUCAUGACCCUGAAUGCCCCCAUGAGGGCACACUUCCUUCACACCCACCCCCAAAGCCCUCCUCCUACAGGAAGUUCUCCACAAGGCAUCUGUUCUGUUCCUCCUAGACUGGUCAUUGGGUUAGUUGAGGGUGGGCCAACCUUUAAGCUAGGGUGGAGCUGUGGGCUUGGGUGAAGGAAGAGGAGACCAAAGGCCGCCAUGAGGGCCUAGCGUCCUCUUCUCCAGCCUUCUUUUCCUUGUCCAUAGCCUACGGUAAUUGUGCCAUGAAGUCACCUGUGGAGUUAGAGAAGACAGCGUGGGCAACGGCUCACGGGGCUCUGAGGAGUCCUUUUGCUCUCCCUGUGUGCUUAAGGCCUCUCCUCCCUCCCGAGGUCAAGAACAAGCUUGGACCAUGAGCUCCUCUGCAUGAGGUGGUCACCUAGAAACCCCAAGAGGAAUCCUGACAGAGCCACCACACGGAUGGAAAUGUAGCUCACUCCUACCCUGCUGUGGCCUCAGAAUCUUCUAGUGUGACCACCCAGUCCCACCCUCUCACCAAGCCCUGGCAGUCCAUCUGCAGGAUGGGACCCACUCCAGGGUCAGGGAGCGGAAGUCAAGGUGUGCUGGGUGGAUUCACAUUGCCUGUCUCAACAAGGCCCUGGGUGCGGCUAAAGCCUGGCAGACAGAUUCCCAAGCAUUGUCUUGUUGGUUUCUGCCGAUGAGCACCAAGCCCAUGUUUAUAUGCAGAUUUCAAAUACCCAUAAAAGCAGCUGGCAUGGUGCUGUCAGCCUCCCUUCCUCCUGGCCAGCUGAACAAAGACCAGCAGUCACCCUGGGCCUUUUCUCUCCCCUGCACACAAAACCACUUUAACACAGUCCUUUAGACAGUUGAGUUCUGUAGAAACACUGCCAGGCAAGCUCAUGAAGCUCCCACAUUGUCCAUCCUGCUUCCCCAUGUUGGUGUCUCAGCUGUACGUUCCCACGUUGUUAACCAAGUCCAUGGUUCAUUCAGAUUCUCUAGUUUUCCCUGAGGUCUAUUUUCUGUUCCAGGAUCCUGUCUAGGUGGCAUUUGGUCAUCCCAUCCUUUCAGACACUUCUUGUUGUGACAGCCUCGGCUUGUCUUGCUCACUGUGCUUGCAGGGCGACCUUCCACUGGGGUGUGCUGUUGGACCAGGGUGGUGGUGUGGGAGGCAGCCCUCUGAGGCAAGUGUCUGCCACGGUUACCUUCACCAUCAAGUCGAUUAGAUCUGGAAUCCCAAAGGAGACACACCUCUGGGCAUGUACGCAGGAGGGUUCCAGAGAGGCCUAAUUGAAGAGGGAGGGAAUAGCUCUGGGUGUGGGCAUCAGCAUCCCAUGGACUGGGACUCUGGAUUGAAGAAAAAAGAAAAAAGAAGGCAGGCUGAGCAUCAGCGUCCAUCUCUCUCUGCUUCCUGACUGCAGACACAGUGUGACAGCCACCUCACACCCCUGCCACCAUGCCUUCCCUGCCAUGAUGGACCACACCCCCAAACCUGAGCCAAAUACACAUCCCCUCCUAUAACUUGCUUUUUGUCAAGUAUUUGGUCACAGCAAGAAAAGUAACCACUGAAGUGUGGCUCUCAUCAUGGCCACACACCGUCAGCAGCACAGUGUAUAACGUGGGGGACGUGUCUACAUCAUCAAGUUUCAGGAAACUCAAUUUGACCAACAGUAAGUUUUCACAUUAGCACAUUCGGGCGACCCCACCCAGGUGGAGUCGGGCAUUCCUGGCCCGGAUGUCCCUUUUAUUCCUGGCUGUAGUAACUACGCCAGCUCACUCUGCUAGCUGGUUCCUGCCUAUCCGCUUGUGGGAUCUGUAAUCUCUGGGUCUUGUGAGCUCCCCUGCCUCGCUGCAUGGUGUGGUUCCUGUAUUCCUUCCGCUCAGUGUUUGUGAGUGCACAUCUCAGAUGCCAGCUCCAGCACAGAGGUGUCUGGGCUCUAGUAGGGCGAUGUUGGACUUUGGAAGACAGAACUUCUCAACAUAGCUCUGUGGGGUUCCCAUCUUCUCCCAGGGGGUGUGGUGGUUGCUGUCUUGCCAUUCUUAGAACAGUGGGGUGGUUGUACCACAAGCUUUUCUUUUCACAGCAAGGACUUGAAGUUUGGUGGACUGAACGAAUGUGUGGGUAUCUCGAAUGAAUAUGGGGUAUCACAUUGCCCCACUAAGGAAUGGCCUGCUGAGGAUCAUGGGCCAGCUUUGGGUGAAUACAUGUCCCCAGGAGGACGGGAGCCCCAAUAGCAGAGUAGGAAGCCACUUUCUAACCUCUGCUCAGUCUUAGGAAGGGCAAGAGCCUGCUGGCUGGACCUUCUGCCUAGACAGCUCUCCCAGUCUGAGGGAUUCCCCAGCAACCUGAGUAGUGGUGAUGCUGAGCAGAGGGGUGCAGCCUAUGGGCUCCAGCUCCUCCCAUGGCUGCUGAGGAGUUCUUACCAUACAGCCUGUAGUGGUGGUUUGAAAGAAAAUGACUCCCAGAAGGAAUGUCGCUAUUUAGGAGGUGUGGCUUUGUUGGAGUAGGUGUGGCCUUGUUGGAGGAAGUGUAUCACUGUGGGCACGGACUUUGAGGUCUUCUAUGCUCAAGCUAUGCCCAGUGACAGUUUCACUUCCUGUGGCCUGCAGAUCAAGCUGUAGAGCUCUCAGCUCCUUCUCUGGCACCAUGUCUGUCUGAAUGCUGCCAUGUCCUGCUAUGAUGAUAAUGGACUGAACCUCUGAAACUGUAAGCAAGCCACCUCAAUUAAAUGUUUCCCUUUAUAAGA